CAGCGGAGACCGGGUGAGCACCGGCUGGUUCCCCGCGGUGUUCCUGCAGGCUUGGCGGCCGCGGUGGUGCGAUCAGCAAAGGACACCGGGAUGCCGGUUGUGCGUGUCCUCAGGUGUCCCGAACAAGCGCUGUGACUCUGGUUUUGGCAAGGAGACGGCCAAGAAACUGGACUCCAUGGGCUUCACGGUGCUGGCCACCGUAUUGGAGUUGAACAGCCCCGGUGCCAUCGAGCUGCGUACCUGCUGCUCCCCUCGCCUAAGGCUGCUGCAGAUGGACCUGACCAAAUCAGGAGACAUUAGCCGCGUGCUAGAGUUCACCAAGGCCCACACCACCAGCACCGGCCUGUGGGGCCUGGUCAACAACGCAGGCCACAAUGAAGUAGUUGCUGAUGCAGAGCUGUCUCCAGUGGCCACUUUCCGUAGCUGCAUGGAGGUGAACUUCUUUGGCGCGCUCGAACUGACCAAGGGCCUCCUGCCCCUGCUGCGCAGCUCAAGGGGCCGCAUCGUGACUGUGGGCAGUCCAGCAGGGGACAUGCCAUA
RNAcentral lists this small RNA (540 nucleotides) under Pongo abelii (Sumatran orangutan). Its description in RNAcentral is "processed transcript". Lineage: Eukaryota; Metazoa; Chordata; Mammalia; Primates; Hominidae. The record is from RNAcentral.